ACACAGACUAACCUUGUCUCAAAACAAAACAAAACAAACAACAACAAAAAACAAAACAAGAUUAAAAAAGGAAGGACUUAUUUUUAAGAGAUGUACUGUGAAAUAAUACCAUUGAAAACAAACUCCGAUUUCAACUAGUGUAUAGGGUUUUGUUUUUAUGAAAAUGGUUCAUGAAUGAUAUUUAACUGUUUCAAGGUGACAUAUUUAAGGUAGGUAUCAUUUUAAAGUAUUGCCACUGACUGUGAAAUUAGCUGAUUGUCUGUAUUAGCUAGUUUGUGGAACUUAAUUUAUGCAUAUUUCUGUUUUCCCCAAAGUCUUUUUUCUUGUGUGUGAUAACAACAAAAGCCACAUACAUGUGAGCGAUAAGACCUGGUGACAGUUCACAUCUUCUGAGUGUGUUGAUAAAACCUGGGGAUGGUUCACAUCCUCUGAGUGUGGUGCCCAGUUCUUUUACCCGUCUGUUUUCCUUAUUUAUUACAAACAGCUUUAAGGUAUCAUACGUGUGUUUGUGUAUGGAUGUUUCUUGCAAUCAUUUAUGUUUGCACAUUACACAAGUAGGAUUAUUUUAUAUAGGUAUGUAUAUAGUCUUCAGUGACAUUUUUAUUCUUGUUUUGCUUUGAGCCAGAGUCUUCUGUUGUAGCUUUGGCAGGCCUGGAACUCCUAGAGCUCUGCCUGCCUGCCUCGUUCUUCUGAGUGCCUGGAUUAAUUUUCACCCUGUUGCCUUGUGUGUGCCCCUUCCACUAUCAUUGAACUUCCCAUCAAGACAAUAAAUAUAGGCUUUUGCUAUUUAAUAUUUUGAUUAAAAUUCUUAAUAGAAUUUCUUUUUAAUUUAUUGUAAUAGAAAACCUUAGUCAAUGAGGGCCUUUUUUUUUUUUUUUUUAAAUUUCAACUAUGGCCAUAGUUUAUAAUGGCUUUAGAUUUUGGGAGAUUUCAUAUUUAAGUGAUAAAUAUACUAGAUUACACAGUUUUAUCUGUUUUAACUUAUGACAAGUUUCAACAUGUGGAUCUUUCAGAAGUUGUAAAUUAUGAGUUUUCUAGGAAAUGGAGUAUGUUUGACUUUGGAUUUCAGAAAUAAUUUUACCAGACUGUUUCCCUGAAAGUUAUUGUUUUAUUUAUGCAACAUAUACUUUGUUUUAGAUUUUCAGAGUUCUCUGGCGAGUACCAUUUUGUUUUUAGUUAGUCUGUGAAUUUACAUUCAUUACUAAUGCCAUUGAAACUCUGUGAAACUUUCACACUUGAAAAAUAGUAAAAUGACACUAUUUAAAAUGUAAAAUGUCCAAUGCUGGAAAAUGUCCUAAUACUCUUACUGUUACUGUUAGCAAGUUACCAAGUUUAAACUAGAUUGUAUCAGUUUUUAAAAUAAAUUCUAGUGGCAUUUCAAAACCUAGAUAAAGAGGAGAAUUAAAAUAUUGAAGAGUUGUCAUUUCUGUCCCUGGGCAAGCUUGUUUUAUACAAGUCUGCAUUUUGUCUCUGUUUGCUGUCAGUGUCUCUCGUGUGUGUGGGGGCUCAGGAGCUGGCUCUGUCAGUGAAGUGCUUACAGUUCUGUCCGCUCGCUUUGCAGUUCUGAGGGUCUGAGUUUAGGUUCCCGACCCAUGUAUAAAGCCUGGUGCAUAGCACAGCAGAGGUGUGAAUGAGAGACUGAGGAUUUCUGGAGCCUGCUGUUAGCUUCCAUAGUUUACUCGGGAGAUGUUCUAGGCCAGAGAGAGACCCAGGCUCAGACAAGUGAAGGAAGGAAGGUGUCUGAGGAGUGACCCUUGAUGACUUUUUCUGACAUCCAUGUAUGUGGAUACCCUACAUACAUGCACACAAAGU
RNAcentral lists this long non-coding RNA (1812 nucleotides) under Mus caroli (Ryukyu mouse). RNAcentral describes it as "predicted gene 43807 (MGP_CAROLIEiJ_G0034593.1)". The record is from RNAcentral. Lineage: Eukaryota; Metazoa; Chordata; Mammalia; Rodentia; Muridae.